RNAcentral lists this long non-coding RNA (211 nucleotides) under Lathyrus oleraceus (garden pea). Its description in RNAcentral is "Pisum sativum (pea) long non-coding RNA (PSAT_LNC006419)". Lineage: Eukaryota; Viridiplantae; Streptophyta; Magnoliopsida; Fabales; Fabaceae. The record is from RNAcentral.
AAUUAGGGAUAAAAAUAAAAAAUAAGUACACUCGCUAAGUUGAAAACCUGAAAGGGCAACUUAGGCAAAAAAAAGGUAUCCUGGUGGAUUGAAAACCCGAAAGGGAAAUCCAGGCAAAAGUUAGGGAUUGAAAGCGGAAGGCUACGUCUUAUAGAGGACCUUUGAUUUCUUCUCGUUGUUAGAGUUGGAAACCUUGAAGGGUAGGAAUUAG